UACGAAGGGGGCUAGCGUUGCUCGGAAUCACUGGGCGUAAAGCGCACGUAGGCGGAUUGUUAAGUCAGGGGUGAAAUCCUGGAGCUCAACUCCAGAACUGCCUUCGAUACUGGAGAUCUUGAGUCCGGGAGAGGUGAGUGGAACUGCGAGUGUAGAGGUGAAAUUCGUAGAUAUUCGCAAGAACACCAGUGGCGAAGGCGGCUCACUGGCCCGGUACUGACGCUGAGAUACGAAAGCGUGGGGAGCAAACAGG
Molecule: ribosomal RNA, 253 nt
Filed under: uncultured bacterium
Lineage: Bacteria
Description: partial 16S ribosomal RNA
Rfam family: Bacterial small subunit ribosomal RNA
Source: RNAcentral